Long non-coding RNA from Macrobrachium nipponense, 612 nucleotides. RefSeq lists it as uncharacterized. Lineage: Eukaryota; Metazoa; Arthropoda; Malacostraca; Decapoda; Palaemonidae. The record is from RefSeq and is a predicted model, not a curated record. The transcript has 3 exons.
UCAUCACCAACUACAGCAAGUGUACUGUACACGUAAUGUUCGUCUCCUCUCACAACCUAUCCAGCAGUUUCCAAGGGAUAUGUAGCAUGAAAAUUUACAAGAAAAGAUAAGGAAAUAUUAACUUUUUUAUAUUUGGUAUAUAUGUAUACUAAUAUACUACUGUGCAUGUACAUGGUAUAUAACAAAAUGUAUUGUACUUUGUGACUAUACUACUGAUGUAUACUGUGUAUGUUACUAUACUGUACAGCACUAAUUUUAAUAUUUUCAUUACAGAAUAUGUAACUACUGUACAGAAUUCGUCAUCAACUUCAGUAUACAUUGUGUAAUCCCUUGAAAAAUGGCCCCAACAUUUUACCAGGGGUUAUGGAGCAUGACAAUUUCAAAACAGCAAAAUUCAUCAGUAACAGUAAAUAUCCUGUUCAUACCAGAACACUUGGAUUACAAUAACAACAUGGAAUGAUAUGUACAUAUUGUUAGAAGACUCCCAGAGGAUUAAAGGUGAGGCUUUCAUCAUUUUAUAGUACAGUAUAUUGUACUUAAAGUACUACUGAACUAAAUCCUAUAUUUAAAAUAUGGCUUGAAUUACGUCACCAAAACGGGUUACAUUUCAGC